AAAGUGAUCCAGACUCAUGGUGUUCAUUGGAAUCACCAUUUACACUAAAGUUGGGAUUCAACUGGAUUAACCUGAAUCGGUAAAUCCAGAAUCAGGGUGAUUCCACUUAUCGGGUUUUCGUAUCUGAACUUUCCCAUCUUUCGACGAGAGACGAACGCAGCCAAUGUGAGAUUUCCGAAAAACGAACGCAGGCAAGGUGAGAUUUCCCCUUCUUCUUCUUCUUCUUCCUUUGACGAGAGAGGAACGCAACCAAGGUGAGAUUUCUGAAAAACGAACGCAGGCAAGAUUUAUUUGUUGGCUUCGUCGAUCAACUGAAGAAAGGGGGUGUUUUCCAGAUUGUUUGAGUGCUUAUCCAUCCCAAGAGCUCUGAAAAGGGCAUGUAUACCAAAGAUUAUGCUGAGAAAAACAGAGGUUCUACUAGUGUAUAAGGUACCUAAAAUUGAAUUCAUAUGGUGUUGCUUUUACUAACUACAAGAGAGGUUCCCUUUUCCCUCUCUCAAAGCACUUUACAACAUCCUUCCUAAGUUCAUCGGGUAGCUGCAGGCAGAUCCAGUCCAGAAAAGACUCCAAAUCUUUUGCAAAGUCUAGUAGAUAACAGUCCCAUCCAUGUUUAAUUUGAUAACCUCUUCUUCUCACUUUGCCAUUUUAAUCCCUCAUUUCAAAAGUUUGUAUUUAUUAAGUAAAAAUAAAAUUCUUAAUCUAGACAAAGUCAUUUUUAUGUCGAAAUCCAAGACUUGAUUGAAUUUUUAUAUUAUUUCUUCUACUUUUGGUACAUUUGGAUUACUAUUUUUGUUUGAGAUUUGCUUUGAGAAGUAGAUAUUCUAAUAUUAAUAUGUUUAACGAUCUAACCUUGGUUGUAUUUCAUGUAAUUAUUUUAUUUAGUAGUUGAAACUGAGUCUUGGGCACUACUUGUGCACUUCUUCAAGCACAAUUUUUUGAGGUUUUAAGCUUUGUUCAUCUGGCAUGAUUUGGUGUCAGUUGAAAGGCUAUUCAACUAUAUUUCCAAUGAGACUAAUGUUGUAUGAAAUCCAUGGAUGGUGUGGAUGUUUUAUAUUUUUUAACAAUAAGUACUUUCAUUAAUCGACACAAUAGAAAGAAGCAUAUGGCACUUUUAACAGCAUGCACCAACCCAGAUGAUAAGGGGAGUUAUGGGGUGAAGAUUAUCAUCCUAUUAAUUUGUGAUGGUAUUUCUGUUUGUUAGGAGUUGUAAUUUAAAUGUAAGUUCGACAUAUAAAUUUGAAGUGUAAGAAAGCGGAAUUGUCAACAGAAUCGGUCUCUGCUGAUUCUGAUUCCAAUUCAACUGAAAUCAGGUGUUAUAGGGUGUUAUUUGAUUGGCUAAACAGUUUUACAAGGUGUUUGAAUACUGUCGAGAGUAGUAGUAUUUUUGGUGUAUGCUAUGAUAGGAUGGAUUUGGUAAUGGUUGAUUUGGGAGAGAGAAGGGUAUUCAUAAAGGGAGGGAUGGAGGCUUUGAAGGUUCUUCUUGUGUAGUUUUGAGAGAGAGGCUUGGUAGGCUUGGUACAAUUGGAUACAAGUGUCAGAACUCAGCCAUGAGAAAGAGAGGAUUGAUUCUCCUGGUCCUUCUAAUGGUGGAAUGCUAUUGGGGUAUGAAUUGCGAAGACAAGUGCGAAUUAUGGUCGAUAUUUUUGGUGUUGUCCACAAUCAAUUGGGGUUGAAAACAAAGGUUGUGGAAUGUUCGAAUGGAUAUCAAAUUCAAGCCCAAGCUGUCAUAGUUAUCAGACUCCACCUUGGUUCCAAUGCUCGGAAACCUCAACUGCAUCAUCGCCUUCCCCUUCAUCAGACUAUAUCAAAUGAUACUUGAACGGUGCAAUUAAAGAAUCGGAGGACCGUACGAGGAUGCUGAGGGAUGUUCUUGACGUAGUCAAGGCUGAUGUCAUUGUAAUGAUAUUGUAUUCAUUAUCAUUUGGUAGUACUUGGAUUGUAAUAGUUAAUUUAGAUUGAACUAUGUUUUUGGAUUAUUACAUGUUAGUACCUGCAUUGGACCAGUUUGUGUAA
Long non-coding RNA from Macadamia integrifolia, 2013 nucleotides. RefSeq lists it as uncharacterized. Lineage: Eukaryota; Viridiplantae; Streptophyta; Magnoliopsida; Proteales; Proteaceae. The record is from RefSeq and is a predicted model, not a curated record. The transcript has 4 exons.